Molecule: long non-coding RNA, 1208 nt
Organism: Mauremys mutica (yellowpond turtle)
Lineage: Eukaryota; Metazoa; Chordata; Testudines; Geoemydidae
Exons: 3
Source: RefSeq, a predicted model, not a curated record
GGCAGCAGGAAUUGAUUCAGAAACCACUCUAACUGCUUUAUCAGCAAACAAUCUCUUGCUCAGAGAGAGGGUGAGUGUGAGUGUGAGUUCAUCUGAUUCUGGAGCUGGAGGAACCCAGCCCUGGAGAACCUAGGUCCUGCAGGAUAGCUCCAUUGGGAGGGACUUGCAGAAGGGAAAAGUGGAACUCCAUAUGAACACAUAAGUGACACAAGUAGUAUAUUAAUAGAAUUACAGAACUCCCCCAGAAGAGUAACCCUAAUAAAUGAGCAUACCCCAAAGUAACGGCCACAUCUGGUAACAAUGCCAAGGAGAAUUGAACCACAUUUCAGCCACUAAUGAUUAUGUGUGUGAAAUGAUUUUCAAUGUGUAUUUUGGGUUUGGCUGUUGCUGGGUUUUUUAGGAAGUUUGGGAAAACCAGAGCACCAGAAAAGCCUGAUUUUUCACACCCUGCACAUUUACUGCCCCCUGCAGCUGCCUGAGCAGUAACAUUGUGACAUCAGAGAUAAUCAGUCACUUAGCACUCUCUCCCCUCCAGGUCAUUUGCACACUGGGAAAGUCACCAGUGCCCUGGCUGUCAUGGCAACAGCUGCCUUUGCUGAUUUCCCCUAACAUUAUUUCAGAGGAGCUUCAGUCAAAGCCGGGCUUGGAUCAGCUGCUACUCGGUUCCUUUGGGCUUGUACUGGGGUACUCUACACUGCUUUUCAAAGGGUUUUUAACAGAUGCAGCGGUGUCUGCCUACAGAAAACCUGAAACAGCAUCUGUGAGGUUUGAAUUUCCCUGUUCAUCUCAUCCAGUCGAGCAGCCCAGAAUUUGGAGCAACCUUUGCACAACCUCACCUCACCUGCUGGAGGUGCUGCACACAAUCAAAUCCACUUGCUUUAACUGGAUCCUAAGAAAGACUCAAGAGAAGACUGCACCCCUUCCGGGUCCCCCAGGCUGGCUGAUUAUUUAAAAAAGGUGAAUUUGAGGGCAUUUCCUUGGGUGAGUGUGUGCUUCUCAUUCAUUACACUUCUCUGUUACUGCAAAGAUUCUCAGUUGUGACCGCAAGAAUCAAAGAAAUGAAUCACUAUCAAUGCACAAAGCAGUCAUUUGCUGCUGCCACCUGUUAAGUACAGAAACAGCAGUUUAAUCCUAGUAAACUGCAAACAAACACCAAGAAUUUGCUUUUUUUCUUCAAACUCUUUGCAAACAUCAAUUAAAAAUCAUGU